ACGGUACCUCCACAAGAAGCCCCGGCCAACUACGUGCCAGCAGCCGCGGUAAUACGUAGGGGGCGAGCGUUGUCCGGAUUUAUUGGGCGUAAAGAGCUCGUAGGCGGUUCAACAAGUCGGUCGUGAAAGUUCAGGGCUCAACCCUGAAAUGCGAUCGAUACUGUUGGACUAGGAUACGGUAGAGGUGAGUGGAAUUCCGAGUGUAGCGGUGAAAUGCGUAGAUAUUCGGAGGAACACCAACUGCGAAGGCAGCUCACUGGACCGCUAUCGACGCUGAGGAGCGAAAGCUAGGGGAGCAAACAGGAUU
Molecule: ribosomal RNA, 307 nt
Filed under: uncultured Actinomycetes bacterium
Lineage: Bacteria; Bacillati; Actinomycetota; Actinomycetes
Description: bacterial SSU rRNA
Rfam family: Bacterial small subunit ribosomal RNA
Source: RNAcentral